Molecule: non-coding RNA, 489 nt
Organism: Ictidomys tridecemlineatus (thirteen-lined ground squirrel)
Lineage: Eukaryota; Metazoa; Chordata; Mammalia; Rodentia; Sciuridae
Source: RefSeq, a predicted model, not a curated record
CUCUGCUACUUCAAAAAAUAAUUAUUGAGAUACUAAUAAUAAUAUCUAUUUCCUUGGUUACAGUGAAGAUAAAAUCAGUUAAUCCAUGUGAAGUACCUAGAAGAGCACCUGCAACCAUAUCAGCUCUCUCUGUUCCCCAAUCUGCAUGGCAUAUGAUACAUGUUACUCAGAGCCCUCAAAUUUACAAGUAAAACCUCAAUGUUCAAUUCCAGCAGAUGGAAUUUGGAUUGGUUCCAGCUUGCUUCAGGCUGUCCACCUAUAGUACCAACAACCUUAAGGUACCUGUGACCCAAGAAGCAUGAAGCCUGAUGCUGAUGCUGAAGCAUGAAGCACUGAGGGAGUCAAGUUGUUGAGGCAACCCCAGAAGCUGCCAACAUCCUGGAUUGUUACGCAAGAAAAAUAAGUCUCUUAAUGUUUAAGCCACAAUCCAUCAAGAUUUCUGCUAUUUGCAAUUGUCACAAGUCUAAAUAAUCUGGAAAGUCACCUAAA